This 292-nucleotide ribosomal RNA is filed under the name uncultured microorganism. RNAcentral describes it as "partial 16S ribosomal RNA". It matches the Rfam family "Bacterial small subunit ribosomal RNA", at positions 505 to 796 of the family's 1533-position model. The record is from RNAcentral.
GUGCCAGCAGCCGCGGUAAUACGUAGGGUGCGAGCGUUAAUCGGAAUUACUGGGCGUAAAGCGUGCGCAGGCGGUUUGUUAAGUCAGAUGUGAAAUCCCCGGGCUCAACCUGGGAACUGCAUCUGAUACUGGCAAGCUUGAGUCUCGUAGAGGGGGGUAGAAUUCCAGGUGUAGCGGUGAAAUGCGUAGAGAUCUGGAGGAAUACCGGUGGCGAAGGCGGCCCCCUGGACGAAGACUGACGCUCAGGUGCGAAAGCGUGGGGAGCAAACAGGAUUAGAUACCCUGGUAGUCC